This is a long non-coding RNA of Sapajus apella (tufted capuchin), 320 nucleotides long. RefSeq lists it as uncharacterized. The transcript is spliced from 3 exons. The record is from RefSeq and is a predicted model, not a curated record. Lineage: Eukaryota; Metazoa; Chordata; Mammalia; Primates; Cebidae.
UGAAAGAAAUCAUAGAUGACACCAACAAAUGGAAACACCCAUGAUCAUGGAUGGGAAGAAUCAAUAUUGUGAAAAUGACCAUACUGCCAAAAGCAAUCUACAGAUUCAAUGCAGUUCCCAUCAAAACACUGAUAGGGACAGGGGGCAGAGAAACUCCAGGAAGAAAGGGAAUGGGGUUCCCUGACAAAACCCCACUGUUAAGCCGAAAAGCCUGAAACUGUGGCCCAAAGUGAGGACUUACAUUCCUAUUUUUCUGCUUGAAUGUUGCCUUUUCCGAUGCCACCCGUAGUCCACCCCCCACCCCAUCCUGUGCCUAUAAA